RNAcentral lists this transfer RNA (59 nucleotides) under Escherichia coli 6-175-07_S1_C1. RNAcentral's name for it is "partial tRNA-Ser". It matches the Rfam family "tRNA", at positions 17 to 71 of the family's 71-position model. Rfam says of the family: Transfer RNA (tRNA) molecules are approximately 80 nucleotides in length. Their secondary structure includes four short double-helical elements and three loops (D, anti-codon, and T loops). Further hydrogen bonds mediate the characteristic L-shaped molecular structure. tRNAs have two regions of fundamental functional importance: the anti-codon, which is responsible for specific mRNA codon recognition, and the 3' end, to which the tRNAs corresponding amino acid is attached (by aminoacyl-tRNA synthetases). tRNAs cope with the degeneracy of the genetic code in two manners: having more than one tRNA (with a specific anti-codon) for a particular amino acid; and 'wobble' base-pairing, i.e. permitting non-standard base-pairing at the 3rd anti-codon position. Lineage: Bacteria; Pseudomonadati; Pseudomonadota; Gammaproteobacteria; Enterobacterales; Enterobacteriaceae. RNAcentral also lists the same sequence under 15 other names. The record is from RNAcentral.
GGUAGAGCACGACCUUGCCAAGGUCGGGGUCGCGAGUUCGAGUCUCGUUUCCCGCUCCA